UCAGCCUUGCUUGGACAGCAUUCCAGCGCUGUCAUUGCUGCAGAACAAGGCUGCUUUGUUUUUAUUUGUUAUUGGUCACAUGGAGGCAGCUAAUGGCCCCAGAUCUUAGAGCUGUGGUUGUCAAACAUGCCAAAGAGCAAGUGCACAAGGCCAGAUCUCUGACGGUCUGUUUAGCUGUCUAACCAUCUCUGAAGUUGGAGUUUGCCCUCAGUGCUUGUUGCCUUGCAGUGCAGUUGAGUUUGUUUGCCUAGUUUUUCCAAGUUCUGUUGAGAACCUCUGCUUCUGUGUUUGUUGCAGAAUCCAAGCUUUACUAUGCAUUAAUGUGGAGGCCAGAAAAUGCAGGAAAAGCAGAUAAGAAUGUAGUCACAUGAUAGCAAAGCAGGAAGGUAGUGUGUGCAACUUGGUUCUUAGUUGAUCUUGACCAUCAGCCAACCAUAUGGGUUGUCUGGGGCUAUUCCAUCGUCUUUCAUGAGCAGAAGCUGAGUUUGUGUUUGAAUGGUAGAUAAAUAAUUGGAGGAGAAUAUGCACAUUUGUGUGUCCUAAUAAAUGCUAACCAGCUUCCUGAGAAAGAGGUCUUGCACCUGAACAAACACCAAGGACAGCUUUCCUUAUUCCCAAGAAAAGAUGUUUAACAAUAAAUUGAUAUUUACAAGAUGGUAAUCACUCUGAAGUGAAAACAAUUAUAUUUGUUGCCCAUUCACGGGAGGAUAUUUUUCAGCUUUGCAUGUGUUUUGCUAUAAGAUGAAAUAUAUUUUUAACAAGAAAAGUUGUCAGUUAACACUGGAUCAGUGGUAAUUUUACUAGCCCCAGAAUCAUCCAGUGUGUUUGGAAGAAUCUGCUUCAUUUUCUAUAUACACAUCUGCGUAGCAGCUGCAGGCACAUACUUCCCAGGGGCUCCGUCUAAUCUGUAGUAUUGCAGGGAUUGUGCCUGGCUAGAGAAAAGGUCUGUUAGUGUUGCUCAUGUUGAAAAUUUAGGUUUAAUGCCUUCCACAUGUUUGUUUUGAUUUGUUUUGUUUUUUUCUAGGCCUGUAAUUAACCCUUUGGAGAAAUUUCUCUUAAAACAAGCUAACUAUAGUGUUGUCUAAAUCCUGAUUAACUGUUUUCAGGAGGCCACGGGAUUGUUUUGUGUCCUCUCUGAGUUCUAACAACAACGUCAGAUGAACCGUGAAGCCAGUUAGAUUUUUUUUUCUCUCUUUCUCUCUCUUUUAAUUGCAUACAGAAAUCAAUUUCUCCAUUCCUGGAAAGCAGCCACUCUCACACAAAUAGCAGUUGACGGAGGAUGUAUGUACAAAGCAUGCAGAGAAGAAAGUAUCAGCCAAAUUAAACCUUGAAGAUACUUUUGGAUGGCAGGGUAACGUUGACCAGAUUUGAAUUUGGUCAAAAUGCCAAACACAAGGCUUUACUACAAUAUUUACCCACCUCAAGCAGCUGCCUGCACCUCCUGCUGCAGCAGGGCACAAGGCUGUAUUCUCUGACCACAGUAAAUCAGUAGUGGCGGGUCAGUUCUGUAGACAGCUCUGUGCAGAUGGAAUUCUUGCAUGUCUAUUUUAGUCCAGCUGAAAUCUACCAUAUGUUUAUACUCUGCAAGUGAAAAGCAUCAGGAAAAAAACCCAACACUUUUCCAUUUCUGAACCUUUGGACAAUAUAUCUGCUGUCUGGGGUCUGACUGACCAGGACUUCUUGCCAGACUGGAACCUCAUAGAGAAAAGUGCCACCUACUGAAUAACAACUACCACAUCCUGCCCUCUUCCUUUAUUGUCUGCUUUCUAAACACUGCAACAACUCAGCUCAUCCACUCCAACAAAACUGACAGCUUCAUGUGAGACACAUUCUGUGCUUGGAGCAGCUUUCAAGCUGAAUUUUCAAGUGGGAAAAUCAUUGCCCUUUUGUUUGAGCUGGGGGGUAUUGCUCUGUUGUCUUGUGGAAAGUGAAAUGAAGUGGUUUUAAAACUAUUUUGCUGAAGUUUUGGAUUUGUUACUGGAAAAGAAAUUGCAGCUGAGAAGAAGAGGCACAUACUUUUUGUCAGGCUAGCUCUGAAAACAUCAAUUUGUAAACCUAAGCCAUUUCUUUUCCUUUUAGAUUUGCUUCUCAUUGAUCUCUGUUGAGCUCUGUUGUCAUCUUCACAGUGCCUUGUUUCAUUUCUGCUGCUGCAGGGCCUGGGCUCACUGGAAGAGCCAGGUCUUUCAUGCCAGAUUAUGGCCACACAACACACUUUGCAUCACAGAAAUCCUAUCACAAUGGAAGGCUUAGUCUGUGGAGAAGUUUGGCACAAAGUAAAAAGAAGUGUGAUUCAGGCAGACUUCAUGAGAUGUGAAAACUGAUUGGAAAACAGACCAAAGAAAAGAUUUUAACAUUUCCCAGUGUUUUGGGUGGUAAAUGUCUUUGCAGGGAAUAAAUCCCAGUAUUUUAAUAGUUCUUCUUUUGUUUGAAAAGUUAAUAGUAUAUGUAUUCUUUACCCACAAGAUCAGAUUUAUAACAUCUGAAAGCUGCCUAUAUGGAUAGGUUAUUGAAUGGAGUAUUGUAAGGAGGCCAUUUAAAGUACGUUGUCCUUAGGUGUUAACUCUGUUGAAGGGAAAAAGGUGUUAAGGCAUAGGAUCAGCAGGUAAACAUUGUUGAACUUAGUAUUAUAUCCAGCUCUUUGGUUACCAUUCCCCAUACAGGAUCGCUUCCUGUAAUGAAUACAGCAAAAUCUGUGUGUUUUGUAGUUAAAAGGAACUUUGUAACCUUUAAAUCUACCUAACCUGACUCUUGGUCCAUAUUUUCAUAUCCCCUGCAUUACUUUUGCUUUCAUUCUUGAACCACAUGGACAUACUCAUAAAAGAUUUAACGAUUUUAUUUUAAUAUCAUUGAUCUUGUGGUAACCAUUUGAAGAGAUAACUACUCAAUCCCAGCAAUUUGUUUCUGGCAUGAUCAUAGAAACUUUUAAUGAAGGAAGGACGAAGCUAUUUUUUUUUUUUAUUUUAGCAGAAAAUUAAUUAUUUCCAGUCAGUUUUCUACUCAAUGUGCUAUAGCUAGUGAAUUGUUCAAGAGAUUAUUAAGAUGAUUUACCUUCUUUUUGUAUUGGAACAGGGUUUAUAAUUUGAUAGUCUAAGCAAUUUGAUAAUGAUUUCUAAGUACAAUCUAAGGCAAUUUCAGGAUAAGUACUGUUCAUUAACUGUAUGUGGACUACUGAUACCUGAUGUUCAUCUGAAAUCUGUUGUGUGAGAUCCAAGUGCACUUUAGCCGCAAUUACCAUACUUAUCCUGUUGAAAUAAUUGAUUAAGCCCCCAUAAUCUUCAGUGGAGCCAAGAAUUCAUCCUUGCUUGAGGCCUUUAAGCUAUCUUUCUCUCUUUAACAUCUGCCCUCUCCCUUUCUCUCAGCCUAAAUUCCCCAAUCUAUGUUUAUGGGCUUGGGCUUACUACCGCCAUCAUUAAAAUGCAGCUAUUCCUGUUCAGCAGCUUGCAGCUGUGUUACAUAAACAAAUGAACAGAACCAUAGGAGUGGGGUAUCAAAUAUCGUAGGCAGCCUAGAAACUUUGUUUUUAACGUUUAAAAUACUAUUAGACCAUAUUUUGACAUUUCAAACCACACCACUUUGUCUUUGCAUUUGCUCUUUCUUCAUUUCUGACAAAUUGGGCUAAUUCUGUAAGAAUUGCUCAAGUGCUUGAAAGCACAUAUUGGCAGGUGCAGCUAGAAGCUUGCCACAACAUAAGGAGGCACAUACAGUGGAUUCAAGACUUUCUUGCCUUCAGUUAAGGAUAGUUUUACCAUUGAUUUAGGCAACAAAAAUAUCAGGUCCGGUGAAAUAAAUGACAGAUGACUAAUCACAUUUUCCCAUUUGUUGUUUACCUUUCAUUCAUCAUCUGUUCUUUAACAGCGAGCUCAUUAUUUUAUAUUUCUUCAGCUAAUCUCUGCAAAAGAAAUAUAUUCUUAUAUGCUGUAUAAUCACCUGUUUGCUCUGGCAAGUUACAGAGUUUUGCCUUUCAGGAGUCUGCCACGAUGUUAUGCAAACAGGUCUGCUCAUUUGCAGCACCAGCUCGGUGACCUCUUUGGCCGUGUUCUCUGUUCCAGCUUUCACAUGUAUAUUUCUUACUGUGUAAUGCCCAGACUUAAGCCAACUCCAUCACUAUUUGGAGAGCUUCAAAACUAAAGGAAAAGAUUAAUGGUCAUUUAAUAACCUGUAAGCAAAAUUCUCUGCUUUGGUUGUCUUCAUUGUUUAACAUUAGUUGAUGUAUGUGCAAAAGAAAAAAGUUAACUAAUGGGAGCGAACUUGACUAAGUCAGGAGGUGUUUGGAAGUCAGAUGCAUUUUUAGCUUAGUGAAAGCCUGAAAAAAGCAGCAGCUCUGUGGGAAGCAUGUAAAAAUGUGCAUUAAAGCAAAGUGAGUCUGAAUUGGUUGGCUUCAUUGCUAGACUGUGCCAUACUACUAUUGUGGUCUGAAAACCAAACAAACAUUGGGUCACAUUCUUAGUACACGCCUGUGAGCAUAGGUCCUUGAAGUCAAUGAGGUUAUGCCAGUAUAUUUUAGCUACAAUCUGUCCCUGCAUGCAAAUAAAACCAGUGAUGAUAGGCCAUUUUUUAUGACUGCAUAGGUCAAAUUCAGGUUCCUGAAAGCUGUGCUCUCACUAAUAAGUACAACAGACUGUAUAAAGGAAUACAGGUUGCAUAUAUUAUUAAGCUAUGGAUAUUUUUUCCUACUAUCAUAUUGAUAGUAAUAUUGCUUAGCUUUUUUUUCCUGUUUUCUUUUUUCUUUUUGUUUUUUUUUUUUUUUUUCCCUGCUAACAGCAAACUAGAUAAAUUGAUGGCUUCUGGUAGGCUGGAACUGCUGCACAACUCUGCUCCUGGAAUGGACUGCCCCGAUCCCAGCGGUGAGUGUGAGUACUGUUUCUCGAACUCUCUCCAGCAAUGGGAUCUGUAAGAAUGUUAGCAAGGCAAAGUACUAUCACUCUUAGGCAUACAACAGAAAUUGAAGAAAAGGUUACUGGCUGUCUUUGUGCCAACACAGCGCAAACUACUGUAGUACUUCAAGAUGCUUUUAAGGAAGUUAUCUUUUUCUAGCUGAUUUUGAAAGCAGAAUGUUUAGGAGCUUAAGGCUCGCUGGGGCAAAUUUUUUGUUGGCCACAUUCCUAGCGUAACCCAGGAAAAACUCAACUGAAGAAAACAGGGCCAUAGUAGGAAGUACUUCAAGUUUUGUUUUUGCAAUAUCAUAUGUGCUAAUAUAAAACACAUACUUAAAUUUUACAGUAGCUUUACUUCUAUUAAGAAGUAUUAGAACAUGAAUUUUCCAUGGUUUCUUUUUUGAGUACUUUACUGUAGGGCAAUCCAUAAAGUUUCUCAAACUGCAAAAGUGCUCAGGGAAUUCUAACAAGCCCCACUGGAUGGCUAUACCAGUAUGCUGGGGAAGGAGUAAGAGCACCUGCAUUUGAGGUAAACAUUUAUGACAUCAGGAAACGUUAGUUGAAAAUUCUGUCAAGUUAUUUAAACUGCAUGGCCUCAUGAACUAAAUGUAGUUGAAGAAAUGAGAACUAAAAAGAAGAAUAUAGUGUGCUGGGGGAAAGUACUGAUAGGCAUUUGGGUUUUUUUAACACUGGAUCAAGAUAUUCCCUUUUUGUUGUCACUGAUGAGUCCAGACCUGGAAUGCUAUUGUCUCACCAGUGGGCUUCAGAAAAAUGCUUGUAAUUCAAAGGAAAUGCAGGCAAAACCAACAUGUUUUAUUUCAAAAGGAAAGUCCUCCUCUUGUAAAUGCAGUAGGAAGUCUGUAUUAAUAUUUUGGCUAAAACACAGUUAAUGCUUUCCAGGUACCUGUGCACAUAUAUAUAUAUCAGGGAGAGUGACUGUUUAUUUUUGUCUUGUUCAUAAUUAUUUCCCUUUACAUUCUCCCAGACAGAGGACAGUUUCUGCAAACUAUCAAGAAACUGAUAUUAAAGUUUCUUGCUUAGGAUGGUGUCUCCUCAUGGAUUUAGAUAUGGUCAGUCUUGUGUUCCUUGCAGUUCUUGCAGUUCCUGAGACAGUUGUUAGGCAAACGUUGCCCUCCACUGGGAGAUGGAUAGAUAACUUUAGCAAAAAGCUCUCCAGUUCUCUGCUCUGCAUGUCCUAAAGCAGUUCCUCCCUUAUGAGGAAUUUUGGGAAGCCCAGGGAUCUUGACACCCCUCUGGAGGGCAACCCUCCAGGUUGUUCCUAGGAGGUUUUGUGCUUGUUUGGUACAAAAGAGGCCGUAAGUCUGUUCUUAAAAACAAAGCAAUCUCUCAGUCGCUGCAUGCAAUUUGUUCGCAAAUCGCUAUGCCACCAGGACAAAUUUGCUGCAAUCGGCGUGCAAAGCUCCAUGGCAAAUCUCCAGACUUACUGAAAGUUUCCUUCUCAUGUAAUUCACAGCAAUUCUUGAAAUCUUCCCUACUUUUUCCUAUGUUGCUGUUUUUAUUUUGAAUGGGAAGGGGGGAAAGAGCAUAUGAGCAGUACCAGAUGUAGACACCUUUAAUGUGAAAUUAUAUUCUGCUGUUUUAAGAGCACACAGAGCUGGAUUCAUGAUAUGCGCUGGCAUCAAUACAUGGUCUGCAUUCACAAGCACUUUGUGAAAUUGAUUCCAAAGCAAACAUUGCUCUUUCAUCUGGGAGAAAAUGCCUUAGCUAACUGCCUAUGUACAGACUGCAUGUUUAGAAUAAUGAUGGCAUUGCCUUGCCUGGCAUGUUCACUUCCAAAAACUAAGAUCAGUUCCUAUGUUUCUUAAACCCAUUUUGGGAAGCAGCAGUUCUUGUGUCUUCAAGAAUUCGCGCUAGCAGGGAACUUCAUUGGCUCAUUAGAAAGACUAAUUUGGCAAAUCAGAUAAUAAUGUUUUAUCCAAGCUUUACAGUUUAAUUUAAUUCUGAGUAAUUUUCAAGACACUUGGGAUGCCAGCUGUGAGCAAGGAUGUUGUGAAUGGCAGCUCCAGAUGUGCUGGGGAGCUGGCUGCACCGCAAGCAAAGGGUUUGGGGAUGCUUCUUCCUCCAUUGUUUGUGGAACAGCAAGUGGAGUCCAGAGGCUAGUGGAUAAGUCCUUCUCCAGAGAAAGACUCUUCAGUAGCAAAGUAUGCAACUCCUUUAUGAUAGCUGGAUACAAGGGCUCUCCAAAUAGUAUGAGAACACCUUAAACAGGUGAAGGUGAUUGCUUAAUUGUUGACAUGUUGACACAAAUGCUCUCCUUUCCCUUUACAGCUCACCCUGAGUUGAGACUGGGUGUUUUGUAAUUUAAAUUGUAGGUAUUUACUGACUAUAACCGCACCGUCCUUUGAGAAGUGUACAGUGAACCCUGUUGUUUCAGACACUUACAACUAUCAGUUUCUAAACCAUUUAAAAUAACAAGAUUGAGACUUCAGUGUUUGUCAUAGACAGUGGAGUUGAAGUUAAUGAGUAUGCCUGGUUUGAGUGGUUUCCAAAUAUGCCAUUUAGCUUAUAUGCUACUGUAUUCAUCGCUUACCAUCACUUACCUAAAUUGUAACUACCUUUGUACCUGUUACAUUUACACACAUGCACACAUAUGCACACACUGAGUCAUUCUCUGUUGUGUAAGCCAAGAGCUUGUGUGUUUCUAUCUGUUCCAAACUCUUACGAGUCUAAAGCACUUGUUAGUUAAAAGAUACUUAGAAAUUCUUGAUUCUUAGACUCUUUCUCUCUCCCCCUGUUUUCUUGGAGGGAUAUUUCUACAUUACAUGCCAUGUUGGCCCAGGAGUGCUCCAGUGACAUAAAUGAUGUGGAAAGUCUGUUUCAAAGUAACUCUAUUACAGCUUAGUUAAUAUUGGAGUUUUAGUUAACAGGCAAGAUAACAAAAGAAUGGUGGUCACGCAGAGCAAAAGAAAUAAUGGUUUUAUUUAGUUUAAUUUUUUUCUUGAGGAAAAAGUUUCAAAACCAGAGCUGGCAGAUUAAGAGCAGGAGGUGCAAAGCCUGAGCUUGCAAAACUGGUGGUGUCCUUUAAGGGUACACAUAUCCUCUCCAGAAGACUAUGCUGUGAAUACUUGUUUCCCUCUUGGGAUGAUGGGAGGAGGAAGACACACUCCACCUCAGCUUUUCAAGGUAUAGGAACACAUGAUGCAGCAUGGAAAAACCUCAGCUGGACACCUCUGGCAUUGCAGUUCAAGAGGAUGUGGCCCAGUUGGAAAGAGCCCGAAGAGGAGCAUUGAGCAUAAUUAGAGGUCUUGAAUAUGACCAAGGAGGACCAUUUCCAGAUCUCUCCACUGGCUAUGGGUAACCCAGAUAUCUGAGUGAACAAUAAACUGACCCAGCUAGCAGACAGCACCAUGGGAAGCAGAGGUUUGGCAAAGACUGGCUGAUGUAGCAUGAAAACAACAUAACAUAUUUUAAAUGAAUAAGGUAAAAAACAUUGUAAA
Long non-coding RNA from Pezoporus occidentalis (night parrot), 8332 nucleotides. RefSeq lists it as uncharacterized. NCBI's taxonomy places the organism in Eukaryota, Metazoa, Chordata, Aves, Psittaciformes, Psittacidae. The transcript has 3 exons. The record is from RefSeq and is a predicted model, not a curated record.